CGUAUAGCUCAGUAACACGUGGCCAAACUACCCUACAGACAGGAACAACCUCGGGAAACUGAGGCUAACACCUGAUACGCGUUGACUGUUUGAAGACGUCGACGUUCAAACGCUCCGGCGCUGUAGGAUGUGGCUGCGGCCGAUUAGGUAGACGGUGGGGUAACGGCCCACCGUGCCGAUAAUCGGUACGGGUUGUGAGAGCAAGAGCCCGGAGACGGAAUCUGAGACAAGAUUCCGGGCCCUACGGGGCGCAGCAGGCGCGAAACCUUUACACUGCACGCCAGUGCGAUAAGGGAACCCCGAGUGAAAGGGCAUAUCGCCCUUUCUUUUCUGAACCGUAGGGAGGUUCAGGAACAAGAGCUGGGCAAGACCGGUGCCAGCCGCCGCGGUAAUACCGGCAGCUCAAGUGAUGACCGAUUUUAUUGGGCCUAAAGCGUCCGUAGCUGGCCGCGCAAGUCUGUCGGGAAAUCCACCCGCUUAACGGGUGGGCGUCCGGCGGAAACUGUGCGGCUUGGGACAGGAAGGCUCGAGGGGUACGUUCGGGGUAGGAGUGAAAUCCCGUAAUCCUGAACGGACCACCGAUGGCGAAAGCACCUCGAGAGGACUGAUCCGACAGUGAGGGACGAAAGCUGGGGUCUCGAACCGGAUUAGAUACCCGGGUAGUCCCAGCCGUAAACGAUGUUCGCUAGGUGUGACACUCACUACGAGUGAGUGUUGU
RNAcentral lists this ribosomal RNA (718 nucleotides) under Halolamina sp. Its description in RNAcentral is "bacterial SSU rRNA". It matches the Rfam family "Archaeal small subunit ribosomal RNA", at positions 82 to 799 of the family's 1478-position model. Lineage: Archaea; Methanobacteriati; Methanobacteriota; Halobacteria; Halobacteriales; Haloferacaceae. The record is from RNAcentral.